ACGCUCGACACCUACUGGAGGCAGCAGUGAGGAAUAUUGGUCAAUGGGCGCUAGCCUGAACCAGCCAAGUAGCGUGAAGGAUGAAGGCUCUAUGGGUCGUAAACUUCUUUUAUAUAAGAAUAAAGUGCAGUAUGUAUACUGUUUUGUAUGUAUUAUAUGAAUAAGGAUCGGCUAACUCCGUGGCAGCAGCCGCGGUAAUCUGAGCGGGCUGGCAAGGC
Molecule: ribosomal RNA, 218 nt
Filed under: uncultured bacterium
Lineage: Bacteria
Description: partial 16S ribosomal RNA
Rfam family: Bacterial small subunit ribosomal RNA
Source: RNAcentral